RNAcentral lists this microRNA precursor (74 nucleotides) under Myotis davidii. Its description in RNAcentral is "mir-9193 microRNA precursor family". It matches the Rfam family "mir-9193 microRNA precursor family". Lineage: Eukaryota; Metazoa; Chordata; Mammalia; Chiroptera; Vespertilionidae. The record is from Rfam by way of RNAcentral.
GGCGGGGGGAAGGGGGUCCUUAGCCCAGAUUGUGAAAGGACGCAGGCCAGGCUGAGGGACCCCACCGGUGCACA